UAUGUGCGUACCUUGCAAGGUCCUCAUGUCUGUCAGACAGUUUUCACUUGACCUCGACCUCAUUUCAUGGAUCAGUGAACAAGGUUAAGUUUUGGUGGUCAAGUCCAUAUCUCAGAUACUAUAAGCAAUAGGGCUAGUAUAUUCAGUGUAUGGAAGGACUGUAAGGUGUACAUCUCCAACUGGCAGGUGUCAUCUGACCUUGACCUCAUUUUCAUGGUUCAGUGGUUAUAGUUAAAUUUUUGCGUUUUGGUCUGUUUUUCUCAUACUAUAUGCAAUAGGUCUACUAUAUUUGUUGUAUGGAACGAUUGUAAGGUGUACAUGUCUAUCGGGCAGAUGUCAUGUGACCUUGACCUCAUUUUCAUGGUUCAGUGGUCAAAGUUAAAUUUUUGUGUUUUGGUCUGUUUUUCUCAUACUAUAUGCAAUAGGUCUACUAUAUUUGUUGUAUUGAACGAUUGUAAGGUGUACAUGUCUAACGGGCAGAUGUCAUGUGACCUUGACCUCAUUUUCAUGGUUCAGUGGUCAAAGUUAAGUUUUUAUACGACCGCAAAAUUUGAAAAAUUUUUCGUCGUAUAUUGCUAUCACGUUGGCGUCGUCGUCGUCUUCGUCGUCUUCGUCGUCGUCGUCGUCCGAAUACUUUUAGUUUUCGCACUCUAACUUUAGUAAAAGUGAAUAGAAAUCUAUGAAAUUUUAACACAAGGUUUAUGACCACAAAAGGAAGGUUGGGAUUGAUUUUGGGAGUUUUGGUCCCAACAUUUUAGGAAUUAGGGGCCAAAAAGGGCCCAAAUAAGCAUUUUCUUGGUUUUCGCACUAUAACUUUAGUUUAAGUUAAUAGAAAUCUAUGAAAUUUUGACACAAGGUUUAUCACCACAAAAGAAAGGUUGGGAUUGAUUUUGGGAGUUUUAGUUCCAACAGUUUAGGAAUUAGGGGCCAAAAAAGGGCCCAAAUAAGCAUUAUUCUUGGUUUUCGCACAAUAACUUUAGUUUAAGUAAAUAGAAAUCAAUGAAAUUUAAACACAAUGUUUAUGACCACAAAAGGAAGGUUGGUAUUGAUUUUGGGAGUUUAGGUCCCAACAGUUUAGGAAUUAGGGGCCAAAAAAGGGACCCAAAUAAGCAUUUUUCUUGGUUUUCGCACCAUAACUUUAGUAUAAGUGAAUAGAAAUCUAUAAAAUUUAAACACAAGGUUUAUGACCAUAAAAGGAAGG
RNAcentral lists this long non-coding RNA (1201 nucleotides) under Mytilus galloprovincialis (Mediterranean mussel). Lineage: Eukaryota; Metazoa; Mollusca; Bivalvia; Mytilida; Mytilidae. The record is from RNAcentral.